GAAGAAAGAUAUAAAAAACAGAAGAGUCGCUCGUCAAUACAAAGUUUGCAUUGUAGGCUGAUUUCCGAACUGACUUUAACAAAGGAGAAGGUUCCCGUGAUCGGAUCUACGUAGUAGAGUAGAGGGGUGGUAUAUAAAGAGAGGUUACUUAUCUGGCCCAGGCGCGUAGAGUAGAAGGUUAGGGUGGAUAAGAUAAGAACUAGCUCAGGGCUGAGGAUCGGCGGCCUUAUCUCGAAGCCGCGGUUCUACCCGGAGCUCCCAAGCGGGCCUACUCUAGCGAAGCGGCCGCGGGACGCAGCCGAAACGGGGAGUCAGCAUGUCGGGCAGCACGUCGGGGAGUCGGCGAGAAGGGAAACGGGGCCGCACUUCUUGUUGCUAGACAGCUAGAUCAACCACACCGACACUGUCCUCUCUUAUGCUCCCCGAGGAACGUCGACCCGAGAUGAACGGAGAUGGUUUGAUAAAAGAAAAGAAAUGAGUACAAGCGAUACGAGAGAGUUAGUCUGGCUUUGUAAUGGUAACCGCAGUUACAAGGGCAGUCAUUCAAGUUAGUCUAAACCUAAAAUAAGUCUCGUCAAAACUAGAUAUAAAGGUUCUCGUCAAAACUAGAUAUAAAGGUUCUCGUCAAAACUAGAUAUAAAAAGCAGCUGGAUGGUUAUAACACAAUGACUUCCUUUUACCUUACUUAUUCUACUUUCACUCCAUUGUAAUUACCGGUGUCUAUCACUAGCACAGACCACACCGUUUCCAUUGGGUAAGUAGUAAAAAACCACUCUGGUGUAUUGACUUCACUCUGAAAAUGGUGACUAAAAAACCUCUACGAAACAAGCUACAUCAACGAGUUACGAAAUACUAUACAGCACGAAGUGUUGACUUUGUGCGAAAAUGGUGACUAAAAAACUUCUACGAAACAAGUUACAUCAACGAGUUACGAAAUACUAUAUACAGCACGAAGUGUUGACUUUGUGCGAAGUGACGGAGGAGAACAGACAACCGUUCGGCGUAGGUUUGUCUUCCUCGAGCGUAACCUCGUCACCUCGACGUGAUGAGCUCGAACGAGAGUGGCGUUAGAUACGUAUACGUAACGUAGUUGUAGAUUAGGACCAUAUCCGUGUCGGAAGACUACACUCUAACCGUGUCGGUUAAAACCAUUCCGUGCACUACUUACAGUUAAGGGGUCAAAUACGAACUGCUAUGAAAAGUAAACAUACAAAUAGCACGAAUCAAUUAAUACCGCUAGAGUACCAGAGGGGGGUAGAGAUAGGAAAAAACCCAAUACUACACUAACACUUUUAGGGGGUAGUAGUGUUCCAUCCAUUUUCAAGUAUAAUCUGGUAAAUUUAGGUAUUCCGCUCCGAUUGACGUAAAGUUAGACGUCUCAAUAACUCGUAUUUAAUUAUUAAUUCCCUUAUGGACAUACAUACACAACACGAUGUCUUCUAUGGGGUAACCUGACAGUUUCCACUCUAAAGUCAAUUCAGGUAUUCGGCUCCGAUUGACGUAAAUUAAAACCAAACAACAAGUUGGGAUUAUCCUUUCUACUCGAACGAUCGAACCUGGUUCCGACGUACUCCUUCCGGUAGUUGACCUUAUCAAACCUGCAGUUCAUUGAUCUUAAACCAAGUAAAGUAUGUGUUUAGUAGAAGAAACGACCAUUUUCAUUGUUUGAUGGUUAUAGUGGUAUAAUACGUAUACUAAAAUGACAAAAAGAAACAUAACUCGUAACGAGGCACUCGAUGUAUUUAAGAAGUAAAAAAUAGAUAUAAGCGUAUGAUGAUACAACGUUUGAAAAUCGGUAACUUCAGAGGUCUCGUAAACAAUAAUCGUAUCGAAACGACCGUUUAGACAAACAAGAGCGCAUGGUUUUUUAUAGAUACUACUUUCACCAUAUGCUGUAGAACGAACCACUAAUUUACAAUAACAUUAAAACCAAACCUAUCUGUUUCACAACACGUUUUAUAUUAUUGUAAACAUGACAUUAUCAAGUAUGAAUAGUAUGAAAGACGGUACAUUAAAAAUAUACAUAUAUAUGACAAGUGUAAACGGUUUUCGAACUCGUUGGGUUCGUUUCAAAGUAGACCAACAAACCAGGUUGAUAGUAACAAAGAUUCGUUUAAUAUAUGUAAAGACCUAAGUAUACGUACAUACUAGGAUGGGGUAGGUAAUAAACAAAGUAAAAUCUAUCCUAACUGACUUUAAUCGUAAAAUGAAGUACUUUGAGUGUUAUAUACGUGAUUUUAAGGGCGUCGUUGCGCGACCCAAAGGAAGAUCAACACAUUUUUCAAUGCAUGCACAAGCGACACUUGAAGGCUGGUCCAGCUUAGGGAUCGGGUGCGGUGCUGCGGUAAACAAGGAGCAGUCCUUGGGAUCGGCGCGGUCGGGCGGCGGCGGGGCGGCCGUCGGGAGGCGCCGGGAGAGGAGGAGGCAGGCAGGGCGGCAGCGGAAGGAGAGGAGGAAAGGCAGCUGGAGAAGCGGCGGCAACCGGACGAAACGGCCCGACGUCGGGGUAGACCCGCGAGCCCGGCAUCAGAAACGCCUCCUUUGGUCGGCUCGUCAGGUCAGGUGUGUGUGGGGUCCGGGCGAAGACCGGGUAUACGGCCGCUGUUGGUUGGCCUGGUCUCGAGGAGCUGUCUGUGUCUGUGUCGCGGAGGGUUCGGGAUUGCCGUUGUGGUUGUGGCCGGUGCGCCGCCGGCCGAGUGGCAUCGGCAGGGGAGCGCGAGCGGAAGCGGUCGCGCCGUCGCGGCAGGCAGCCACAGCGUGGGCGGUGGUGGAGAAGGGGGAGAGGGAAGGCGGCGGCGUUGGCGCGUCGACGGUGUCGGUGAGCGGCGGCUGUGGUUUGGCGCGGCGGGCCGGCGGAGGACGACAAGGCGCGAGCAGGGAACGGCACGUAUACCUGCUUCUCGCGCACCUUGCCCUUCCGGCGGCGGAGUUCUUCUUCCGCUUCGUAGCACUACUUCUCCCCUUCCGCUUCCUAUUUAACUUCGCAGCGUGUCUACUUUUCCGUUGACUCCGACUAAGCCAGCGUCUUUUUCAAUUCCUCCUCCGACACCAUCCGCGACGCCUCCUCUUUCUUCCGGUGUUCGCGUUCUUUCCCUUCCCGGCGUCACUCCUCUGCUUCUCGUUCCUCUUACAAGGUCAGCAAAGUCCAUCGUAUCUCUUGCCACAACCACUCCUCGUCCGGUUCUUCAGCCCGAGCUACCGCGGAACAAGCCUCCCACGGUACUUGUUUCUGUUACACUUCUUUCUGUUCUUCUCUUCCUUCCUCCUCUUCUUCUUUCUCUUUCUUCGACUAUACUGACUCGUCUUCGUCUCAAAACUAUGAUGACAACCAUUCCUCGUUCGACUUUGAAGACCGAACUACCUCCAUUGCGGGACAAACCUCGAGCGGGUCCCGCUAUACUCGUUUCUGUUCCACUUCUUUCAGUUCUUCUUUUUCUUCCUUCUCUUUCUUCGACUCUUCUGACCCGUCGUCUUCGUCUGUAAACUAUGAUGACAACCUUUAAGUCCCCGUUUCAUACGUCUCCCUCUGUUCCAACUCCCUUUUGUCAGAUCGUUCCGUUUCUUCUCGUUUGCGUUCUCACUACUACCACGUGGACGACGACUAGUUUAGCACUGUUCUCUUAUGUUCUUCUUUUUCUUCCUCGUAAGUCAACACGACCUUCUCUCGUCGGUUUGGCUUUUAUCGUUACUUCCACUCUUAUCUCUCUAAUUCUUCCCUCCUUUCCUUUCCUCAUUUCGGUCAGGUCUGAAAUCACUCUUACGUAGACGACCCCCUCUCCUUCGACCACAUCUACCAUUACUACUAUUCUUCUUUUUCUUCUCGUUCCCCUAACCUCCUCCCUUUUUUCUCUUUCUUUUCAGUCAAGCCAGUUGUUUCCCAUUCGUCCACUCAAAACGACUAAGGCGCCUCUACAAAUCUUGGCUUCCACCACUACCCCUCCCCUAACCUCCUCCUUUUGUCUUCCUUUUCCGUCGAGACAGUUUCUUCUUUCCAUUCGCCCACUCGAAACGAUUAAGACGCCUCCACAAAUCGUAACUUCCACCACUAUUACUUCUCCUACCGUAGUCGUUACUUAGCUUUUCACACGUACCAGCUAAAUGGGGUCUCCUUCUGCGGCGGGAGUACCUUCGAUACUCCCCAAUGCGUCUCUACUUCGUUGACCCUCUCUUUCCAAAUCUCUACUAACCCAGAACAGCAUUUAUAGGUCUCGAUUUCCCAACAACCCUACUAUAUCGCUUUAGCAAUGGGGUAUCUGGAAUGAACCGGUAUAUGUCCGCUCGUGUAUGUAAUGAGGUAUCCUCGUGGCCUACAUUUACCUGUCUACUUCUUUUUCUCGUCUAAGCCGCCAAACAGCUCUUUUUACCGUGCCUAACCUUUUGUGACCGUGUCCUUGAACCUUUCUCACUCUAGGUACAUUUUGUACGAACCUCUUCUUAUUUUGGAUUCUUCUUUUUUCCACGACUACUACUUCUCCUACAGUCACCACCACUUAGACUUGAACAUGUACCUGUAGCCAAAUGGUGUCUCCUUCUACGGUAGGAGUACCUUCGAUACUCCCUAAUGCGUCUCGACUUUGUUGACCCUCUCUUUCCGAAUCUCUACUAACCCAGAACAUCAUUUAUGGGUCUCGAGUUCCCAACAACCCUACUAUAUCGCUUCAGCAAUGGGGUAUCUGGAGUGCUCCGGUAUAUGGUAGCUCGCGCAUAUAAUGAGAUAUCCUCACGACUUGCAUUUACCUGUCUACUGCUUUUUCUCGUCUAAGCCGCCAAACAGCUUUCGUUACCUUGCCUAACCUUCUGUAACCGUGCCCUUGAACCUUUCUCACUCUAGGUGCAUUUUCUAUGAACCUCUUCUUAUUUUGGAUUCUUGAACUUUUUUCCUGCAACCUGAGUCCUACUUGUGGUUUUGAACAAACUAAACCACUUGGAACUGAACGCAGACUUUCGGGUAGUUUAGUUUUUAGGACUAGUAGCCGACGAUUCUCUAUUGUAAAGGACCCUCCGGUAGUCACUAUUUAACUGGUGGGCAUUAGUGUUCUUAACAACGGAGUUCACCAUGCUUUGUAAUCGUAGAGGCUACCAGUUCCUUCCUCAGACCCGACUACAACUACUAAUAGAUGACCACCUUCGCGAAGUUUUCCAACUACGACAGACAUAACUUCUACAACUGACCCUGUCGGAUGAACUAGUGUCCAGACCCCUCCAAACAGCAGUUUCUACCUUGGUCUACCAGGCGCGGAAAGUAGCUUGUUCACCUUCACGACAGCUCCGCGAUGACGGGUCUUUACUAACUUAUGUCCUUCACUCCUUUUUCACAUCCUUAAUAGUGGGCAGUUUGAACAUUCGGGUCUGUUUUGUCGUUCGUACUACACAGUUUAGAACGAGCAGUGAAGGUACCAUACACCUCAUCGGGCAUCCUACGGUCCGAACGCCCUAAAUACCCCACAUCUUUACAUAGUUGCCAUGUACCAAGUGGUCACUCGUUCGAUCCAAUACUAAAACAAAAGGAAGAUAACAGGAGUGCUUGUAGAAAUGAGUUUGGACUUAUGUACUAGUGAAGUCCCUGAGGUG
RNAcentral lists this ribosomal RNA (5571 nucleotides) under Triticum aestivum (bread wheat). Its description in RNAcentral is "partial small subunit ribosomal RNA". The record is from RNAcentral. Lineage: Eukaryota; Viridiplantae; Streptophyta; Magnoliopsida; Poales; Poaceae.